This 487-nucleotide ribosomal RNA is filed under the name uncultured bacterium. Its description in RNAcentral is "bacterial SSU rRNA". It matches the Rfam family "Bacterial small subunit ribosomal RNA", at positions 9 to 507 of the family's 1533-position model. The record is from RNAcentral.
CGAGUUUGAUCAUGGCUCAGAGCGAACGCUAGCGGCGGGCUUAACACAUGCAAGUCGAGCGGAGAGCUUCGGCUCUCAGCGGCGAAUGGGUGAGUAACACGUAGGUCACGUACCCUUUGAUGGGGAAUAACCUAGGGAAACCUGGGCUAAUACCGCAUAUGUCCUUCGGGGAUGAAAGCCUUCGGGCGUCAGAGGAUCGGCCUGCGGCCCAUUAUUUAAUCCUAGUUGGUGAGAUAAUGGCUCACCAAGGCAAAGACGGGUAGCUGGUCUGAGAGGAUGAUCAGCCACACUGGAACUGAGACACGGUCCAGACUCCUACGGGAGGCAGCAGUGGGGAAUAUUGCGCAAUGGGCGAAAGCCUGACGCAGCCACGCCGCGUGAGCGAUGAAGGUCUUCGGAUCGUAAAGCUCUGUGGGGGGAGAAGAAGAAAGCCGGUGAAGAGCCGGCCCUGACGGUAUCCCCUUAGCAAGCACCGGCUAACUCCGUG